RNAcentral lists this ribosomal RNA (504 nucleotides) under uncultured bacterium. Its description in RNAcentral is "bacterial SSU rRNA". It matches the Rfam family "Bacterial small subunit ribosomal RNA", at positions 107 to 598 of the family's 1533-position model. The record is from RNAcentral.
UGAGUAACACGUGGGGAAUCUGCCUAUAAGUGGGGGAUAACAUUCGGAAACGGAUGCUAAUACCGCAUAUAUUCAAAAACCGCAUGGUUUCUGAAAGAAAGACGGCUUUACUGUCGCUUAUAGAUGAUCCCGCGGCGUAUUAGUUAGUUGGUGGGGUAAUGGCCUACCAAGACCAUGAUACGUAGCCGACCUGAGAGGGUGAUCGGCCACACUGGGACUGAGACACGGCCCAGACUCCUACGGGAGGCAGCAGUAGGGAAUCUUCCACAAUGGGUGCAAACCUGAUGGAGCAAUGCCGCGCGAAUGAAGAAGGUCUUCGGAUCGUAAAGUUCUGUUAUUAGAGAAGAACAAGUCAAGGAGUAACUGUCUUGACUUUGACGGUACCUAACCAGAAAGUCACGGCUAACUACGUGCCAGCAGCCGCGGUAAUACGUAGGUGACAAGCGUUGUCCGGAAUUAUUGGGCGUAAAGGGAGCGCAGGCGGUUGGAAUAGUCUGAUGUGAA